AUGGCCAGCCCAGCUCCGCUGCACAAGAUGGCCACCAGCCCAGCACCGCUGCACAAGAUGGCAGCCGCUGCUGAUCUUCCAGAGUCAGGUCAGGUCCCCGUCGACUUUCCAGAGUCAGGUCAGGUCCCAGUCGAUCAGGUCCCUGAUGACUUCCCAGAGUCAGGUCAGGUCACCGUUGACCGUCCAGCUUCAGGUCAGGUCACCGUUGACCGUCCAGCAUCAGGUCAGGUCACCGUUGACUGUCCAGUGUCAGGUCAGGUCAUGUCAGCAUUGACCGUCCAGAGUCAGGUCAGGUCACCGUUGACCGUCCAGAGUCAGGUCAGGUCCCCACUAACACACAAGAGUCAAGCAAAACAACAGUUAAACUUCAUGAGUCAAGUCAGGUCACCACUAACACCCAAGAGUCAAGUGAGACAACAGUUAAACUUCAAGAGUCUCUUAAAAGGUCACCGUUGACCAUCCAGAGUCAGGUCAAGUCACCAUUAACACCCAUGAGUCAAGUGAAACAACAGUUAAACUUUAUGAGUCAAGUCAGGUCACCACUAACACCCAAGAGUCAAGUGAAACAACAGUUAAACUUCAUGAGUCUAGUCAGGUCACCGUUGACCAUCCAGAGUCAGGUCAAGUCUCCGCUGACCGUCCAGAGUCAGGUCAAGUCACCAUUAACACCCAUGAGUCAAGUAAAACCACAGUUAAACUUCAUGAGUCAAAGCAAGUCACCAUUAACCUCCGUGAACUAAGUCAAGUCACAGUUGAUCCUCAUGAGCACAGUCAAGUCACCAACGAUCUUCAUGAGCCAAGUCACUCUAACCUCCGUGAGUUAAGUCAAGUCACAGUUGAUAUUCAUGAGCCAAGUCAAGUCACCAACGAUCUUCAUGAACCAAAUCAAACCACAGUUGAUCUUCAGGAACCAAGUCAAGUCACAGUUGAUCUUCAGGAACCAAGUCAAGUCACAGUUGAUCCUCAUGAGUACAGUCAAGUCACCAACGAUCUUCAUGAGCACAGUCAAGUCACCAACGAUCUUCAUGAGCCAAGUCAAGUCACCAUUAACCUCCAUGAGUUAAGUCAAGUCACAGUUGAUCUUCAUGAGCCAAGUAAAGUCACAGUUGAUCUUCAGGAACCGAGUCAAGUCACAGUUGAUCCUCAUGAGCACAGUGAAGUCACCAACGAUCUUCAUGAGCCAAGUCAAGUCACCAUUAACUUCUGUGAGUUGUCAAGUCACCAUUAACCUCCGUGAGUUAAGUCAAGUCACAGUUGAUCUUAAUGAGACAAGUCAAGUCACCAAUGAUCUUCAUGAGCCAAGUCAAGUCACCAAUGAUCUUCAUGAGCCAAGUCAAGACACAGUUGAUCAUCAUGAGUCAAGUCAAGUCACAGUUGAUCAUCAUGAGUCAAGUCAAGUCACAGUUGAUCUUCAUGAGCCGUCAAGUCACAGUUGAUCUUCAUGAGCCAAGUCAAGACACAUUUGAUCUUCAUGAGCCAAGUCAAGUCACAGUUGAUCUUCAUGAGCCAAGUCAAGUCACAGUUGAUCUUCAUGAACUAAGUCAAGUCACAGUUGAUCUUCAUGAACUAAGUCGAGUCACCAGGACUUUAGGAGGUUAAGGUGAUAGAUCUGACGUGCCCUGUUCCUAUCAGACUCUAUUACCUCAUAAUCGAGAUCUCUGACUUGUCGUGCAACCUCAAACGCUCCCUGCCACUUAGCCAUUAACUUAGAGCUCGACGUUGGGAGUAAUACAAGUACUUUCUCUCCCGUUGGAAAUUUGCGUAAUCUAGUUCCCCUGUUAUACAGCUGCCUCCGGGGGUCCUGGGCUUGUAACAAAUUCUCCAUUGAUAGCCGCCCCAAAGUGUGGAGUUUUGUUCUCAAAUCCAGCACAUACUGAAUUUCGUUUUUGCCUUGAGAUGGCCCCUCCUCCCAAGUUUCUCUCAGAACACCCAGCAUCCCUCUAUGGAGUCCAUAGAGAAGCUCAAAGAGGGAAAUUAACUGACGGAACUGACAUUCCGGACAAGAUGCACACCUCCUGCGCACGUUGUCGUGAAUGGCCGUCCAAAAGAAACAGGUCAUGAGGCAAUUCAGUGUUGCUGCCUGUCCCUGCGGCUCUUCAGAAUCAACAACUGGGUUGUAUUCACUUUUGUCUGAGCAUCUUGGGUCACUCGAUUCAACCGAUCUCUUAAAAUGGCAAAAUACGGAUAGGUGAGUGGGUGGGCAGGUUGGAGAGACUGGCCAUCGAAGGAGCGGACCUGUUGAAAAGCGUGUUUUAAUGUCUCAUACUGAGACUGCUCCAGAGGAAAGUCAUCACACUCCGUGAGAAUAAGUCUCCCGAUUUCGUUUGGUUCCCCUGAAGCAGAACCCACUGGUGCCUUAUUUCCACAAGAGGAAUCCGCACAUAACAACCCCAAUAAAACAGUAAACAUGGGCCAA
This 2416-nucleotide long non-coding RNA is filed under the name Carassius auratus (goldfish). Its description in RNAcentral is "lncRNA (ENSCARG00000040187.1)". Lineage: Eukaryota; Metazoa; Chordata; Actinopteri; Cypriniformes; Cyprinidae. The record is from RNAcentral.